Long non-coding RNA from Polypterus senegalus (gray bichir), 1180 nucleotides. RefSeq lists it as uncharacterized. The record is from RefSeq and is a predicted model, not a curated record. NCBI's taxonomy places the organism in Eukaryota, Metazoa, Chordata, Cladistia, Polypteriformes, Polypteridae. The transcript has 4 exons.
CAAUAUCAGUUUGAAUAUUAUUAUUAUUAUUAUUAUUAUUUAUUAUUAUUAUCUAUGUUGUAGCCUUUGAUGUUCACCAAAUCAUGUUUAUGACAAGCCGGCACCCCAAAACGAAACUAGAACUAUGAACCUGCUCCAGAAGAAAAUAAAGAAAUCCAAGCAUUUCAUAUAAGCUGAGUCUCUGAGAAGCUUAGGGUGGCUCAUUCUGGGAUUUGGAAGACCACCCAUAAUAGGCUCAUGUAGGUUGUCAGUCACUAACAGCCAACUUCUAGUACAUGAAAAUAAUACAAGACUCACCAGUGAUAUAAGUGUAAGUGUUCAUAAGUCAGGGUCUGGAUUGUGUUUUUUUUAUUAGGCCCCCAUAUUUUGCCACCCUAGGCAGUCACCUAGUUCACCUAAAAUGUAGUGCUGGCCCCGAGUGACAUUACUGUAUUGUGCUAUGUGAUAAAUCUGCAGACAUCGGAAUAGCAGCGCCCCUUCUCCAUCCAUUCUUAUUGUACACCAGAUUGCAGCUCUGGGUUUGCACAGCCAUACCUGACCUGGUGCAGUCCCUCGUAAAAGAAUGAUGUCAACGACAAGAGCCAAUUUUUGGAAUAUAAGGUUUCUUCAUUACACCUGAUGGAGAGAAGGAGAAUGGAAGUAUCAGGAGACAUGUCAGAGCAUCCUGACCAGACAUUGGGCUCACAGCAGACAAUGAAGGAAACCUCAGGAGUGCCCUUUGCUCUCCACAGAAGACGGUCAAGCAAGGAUAACACUAUUAUAAACCUGAGCCAAGACCAACCUUCGGCGUCUACACCUCCAUUAGCCAAGGCAAGUGCAGGAGAUACCGGGGGACUGCAGUGGAAUACCACUCAAGGAAAAUGAAAAAAAAAAAUUUUCUUUGAAAAUAAUUUACAUUUUUUUGUAUUAUUAUGUUUACAUUUUUUACUACACUUUAUUUUUUUAGCUAAAAAACAUGGAUCUAGCAUCCUACUUGAAUGCUACAUGUGGAUGCUUUCCAUGUUGAAUGUUUUCUUUUUUCCUGUGUCUGCAGAUUUUCUCUGUAGGCAUGCUGCUUUCUUUUAUUGGUAAAGUAUUUAUGCUUAGCUGCUUUUUUAGUAUAGUUUGAAUUUGUGUGUUUUAGGUUAUUAAUGAUACUCUAGAGCAGGGGUUCUCAACGUCGGUCCUGGGGACCCCCUGU